GAGUUUGAUCAUGGCUCAGAUUGAACGCUGGCGGCAUGCCUUACACAUGCAAGUCGAACGGCAGCAUGAUCUAGCUUGCUAGAUUGAUGGCGAGUGGCGAACGGGUGAGUAAUACAUCGGAACGUGCCCUGUAGUGGGGAUAACUAGUCGAAAGAUUAGCUAAUACCGCAUACGACCUGAGGGUGAAAGUGGGGACCGCAAGGCCUCAUGCUAUAGGAGCGGCCGAUGUCUGAUUAGCUAGUUGGUGGGUAAAGGCCCACCAAGGCGACGAUCAGUAGCUGGUCUGAGAGGACGAUCAGCCACACUGGGACUGAGACACGGCCCAGACUCCUACGGGAGGCAGCAGUGGGGAAUUUUGGACAAUGGGCGAAAGCCUGAUCCAGCAAUGCCGCGUGUGCGAAG
This 402-nucleotide ribosomal RNA is filed under the name uncultured microorganism. RNAcentral describes it as "bacterial SSU rRNA". It matches the Rfam family "Bacterial small subunit ribosomal RNA", at positions 9 to 410 of the family's 1533-position model. The record is from RNAcentral.